UACGGAGGGUGCAAGCGUUGCUCGGAAUUACUGGGCGUAAAGCGCGUGUAGGCGGCCCACUAAGUCUGAUGUGAAAGCCCGGGGCUCACCCCCGGAAGUGCAUUGGAAACUGGUGGACUCGAGUCCCGGAGAGGAGAGUGGAAUUCCUGGUGUAGCGGUGAAAUGCGUAGAUAUCAGGAGGAACACCGGUGGCGAAGGCGGCUCUCUGGACGGUGACUGACGCUGAGACGCGAAAGCGUGGGGAGCAAACAGG
This 253-nucleotide ribosomal RNA is filed under the name uncultured bacterium. RNAcentral's name for it is "partial 16S ribosomal RNA". It matches the Rfam family "Bacterial small subunit ribosomal RNA", at positions 524 to 776 of the family's 1533-position model. The record is from RNAcentral.